CUACGGGAGGCACCAGUGGGGAAUAUUGGACAAUGGGGGAAACCCUGAUCCAGCAAUGCCGCGUGUGUGAAGAAGGCCUGCGGGUUGUAAAGCACUUUCGGUUGGGAGGACUGCUUCUAGCACUAAUAUUGUUGGAAGUUGACGUUACCUUCAGAAGAAGCACCGGCUAACUCCGCGCCAGCAGCCGCGGUAAUACGGAGGGUGCAGGCGUUAAUCGGAAUUACUGGGCGUAAAGCGCGCGUAGGCGGCUAGAUCAGUCGGGUGUGAAAGCCCCGGGCUUAACCUGGGAACUGCAUCCGAUACUGUCUAGCUUGAGUACAGGAGAGGAGAGUGGAAUUCCACAUGUAGCGGUGAAAUGCGUAGAUAUGUGGAGGAACACCAAUGGCGAAGGCAGCUCUCUGGCCUGAUACUGACGCUGAGGUGCGAAAGCGUGGGGAGCAAACAGGAUUAGAUACCCCUGUAGUC
This 465-nucleotide ribosomal RNA is filed under the name uncultured bacterium. RNAcentral describes it as "partial 16S ribosomal RNA". It matches the Rfam family "Bacterial small subunit ribosomal RNA", at positions 339 to 795 of the family's 1533-position model. The record is from RNAcentral.